RNAcentral lists this long non-coding RNA (307 nucleotides) under Elaeis guineensis (African oil palm). Its description in RNAcentral is "long non-coding RNA (EGUI_LNC028322)". Lineage: Eukaryota; Viridiplantae; Streptophyta; Magnoliopsida; Arecales; Arecaceae. The record is from RNAcentral.
AAGGAAGGAAAACAGAGGAGAAGAACUCCCGAAGGGAGUCUUCUUCCUCCAUUCACCGGCUCCUAAUUGGAGUCGGAAACAAGUUCCCUCCGGCCCUAUUUAAGGAGGAGAUCCCUCCUCUCUCCUUUCCACCAAAAAUUCUAAGCUCAAACGGCGGCAAUCGCCGGAAAAAUCCCGCGGAAGACCAUCCCUGUGCCGUCCAAUUUCUCGCCGGAAAAGCUUCGCCGGCGACGGAGGUAAGCCUCCUCCCCUUCCUCUCUUCUCCCUCUUCCUUCCCGUGCCGAUGUGCACGCUCGCCGGCGACCGG